GCUGAAAGUUCAUGUAACCUGAAGGAAAUUUUUGGAGCGUGGUGUGGGAGCUCAUUGGAUGCGGAGACUAUCAAGACAUUUGUUUCAUUUGAGUAUGAUGAUUCUGUAAAGCUGCGUGCAAGGGUUGCUGCUGGUCUGUUUGCUGUGCGCAUCAUGUGUAAAGUAAAAGGUGGUGAUAGAGGAAGUUUGUCUGUUUCACUUGUUGAUAAAAUUACUAACCUGUGGCAAAAGUUGAGGAAGUUGCCAGCCUUUUCUGAGUUGAUGGCUAUUU
Molecule: unclassified non-coding RNA, 271 nt
Filed under: Hevea brasiliensis (rubber tree)
Lineage: Eukaryota; Viridiplantae; Streptophyta; Magnoliopsida; Malpighiales; Euphorbiaceae
Source: RNAcentral